GACAUACUACAGAUUGAAAAAUGGACCAACUGAGAGGAUGAUUCUCCAGGACCACUGUUACUCAACAUUUGAGUGGCAGAUAGAGCAUCCAUAUGCUUGUUCAGGAGCAAAGUGGGAGAAGGACUUGGGCCCUAUUCAAGAUGAACUGUUAAAGUAUGUACUAGACAAAAAUCGUCCGUCAGGAGAACUGAUCGUAAAGCAAGGCAAAUUUUGCCUCACCCGAGAAGACUUCU
Molecule: long non-coding RNA, 233 nt
Organism: Rhinichthys klamathensis goyatoka
Lineage: Eukaryota; Metazoa; Chordata; Actinopteri; Cypriniformes; Leuciscidae
Exons: 3
Source: RefSeq, a predicted model, not a curated record